AACGAACGCUGGCGGCAUGCCUAACACAUGCAAGUCGAGCGAGACCUUCGGGUCUAGUGGCGCACGGGUGCGUAACGCGUGGGAACCUGCCCUUAGGUUCGGAAUAACUCCCCGAAAGGGGUGCUAAUACCGGAUAAUGUCUUCGGACCAAAGAUUUAUCGCCUUUGGAUGGGCCCGCGUUGGAUUAGCUAGUUGGUAGGGUAAAAGCCUACCAAGGCGACGAUCCAUAGCUGGUUUGAGAGGAUGAUCAGCCACACUGGGACUGAGACACGGCCCAGACUCCUACGGGAGGGAGCAGUGGGGAAUAUUGGACAAUGGGCGAAAGCCUGAUCGAGCAAUGCCGCGUGAGUGAUGAAGGCCUUAGGGUUGUAAAGCUCUUUUACCCGGGAUGAUAAUGACAGUACCGGGAGAAUAAGCUCCGGCUAACUCCGUG
This 433-nucleotide ribosomal RNA is filed under the name uncultured bacterium. RNAcentral's name for it is "partial 16S ribosomal RNA". It matches the Rfam family "Bacterial small subunit ribosomal RNA", at positions 29 to 507 of the family's 1533-position model. The record is from RNAcentral.